UUUUUUUAAUGACCGAGUCAAAGCAACGGCGCGUGUUUGAUUAUACCCUUUCCUGCCGGCAUGAGGACCUGCUCUAAUUAAUUUGCAUCGUCACGCUUCUGCAUCUGCCUCGGUUGGUGGCUUCUCCUCACCGGCCAAGAGCAAAGGACGCCAUGGACUUGAUUCCGUCUUUCUCCAGGUCAGUGCAUGUUCUAGCUAUGCUCGAUCUUUUGCUGAAUUACUUGCUCUUUGCACCUCGCAAACCAUUCACGUACGGGGACGAGCGGCCAAACAUGGGCGGUCGUAUGCAUGUCAAGAAAUGAUCCAGAUUUCAACAUGUAAGUCGGCGUGAUUUCCUCUUUCAGAAGAAACGGUUUCAUAGCUUCUUCUUAUGAGGGGAUGAUCCAAGAAGAACGCCAUGGCUAGUAUCCUCUUUUUCAUUCUAUAUAUGUACUUCUCAGUUCUAGAUGCUCGAUAGUCCACGUGUCUGGCAAUUGAGUUUAUGUGUAUGUGUGUGUGAGUGGAUUUCUCCUUUUCAUCACAAUUUCUUUUUCCGAUUUCUCCUUCUCCUUCUUCUUCCUCCUUUCAUCUCCCUCCCAGCUGGCCGCUGCUCGCACUCCCUGGCCAAACUACCAGCUUCUGCCAGCCAUGGUGUUCUAAAUUUUAUAUUUAUACUUUGUUCUUUAUUUUUAUUAUUUUUCACUGUUGUGUUUUGUUCCUUUUUUGUCUGUGUCAAAUAAUUGCUUUUUUCCCGUGUAUAUUUUCCCUCUUUUUCACUUCUAUAUGAAAAUCUUCAUGAAAAAAUACACUGUAUUUUUUAUAAAGUACAUUGUACUACUUGAAUAUUUAUUUUCGAAUAUGUGAACUUUUUAUGCUCGCCAGUUUUUGUAUGUGGACACGUCUCUUUUAAAAUACAUCAACAUUACUUUUAAGAAUUUUUUUAUUUUACAAAGACAUCAAUUUCGAAGUGCUAUUCUCUCUAACACUCGUACAUAUCCUUCUCUACCUUUAUCAAUUUGUUUUCUUGUCACAAUCAAAGAUGAAGUAGCCAGCUUAUAACUUGAUGAGUGCAAAAUUAUAGUCAGGCAUGUGAGGACUGAGUGAGGACGAGUAGAUUAUCAACAUAUAUAAUCGGUGUUUCAAGUUUACAGAGUUCUCCCCUCCAAACAAAUGUUUAUUGGGAAUAAUACCAAUUUUUUUUCAAUAUGCAUAUAUAGUUUCUUCCUAGAUGAGCUUAAUUAAUGUUUCACCCAUCACACGCAGGUAGCUAUAAACUUGGAAAGGUUGCAUCAUGCGAGUGCCCACAUUUGUUGAGAUUGAAUUGUGAAGUGUGGACGUCGACCACCGAAAUAUGGCCCGGGGAACUAGAAGCUAUAGAAGAAAGGUACACAAAUACGAUCUUCAUUGUAAGAAUUCAAAUCCAAUGAUAAAGUAGACGUAAAAGCAUGUGUAGCUUACAAUUAUGUACUCGGUUUACACAAAUGUAUUGUUUUCUUUGACAUAUACUUUGCUGAAUGCUCAUACGAGUUCUUGAUAUAUAGUUCCUGUAGUACAUCUUGGUUGUAUAUGCAUGUCUAUGUCGGUCUCCUUAGACAUGUAGAAACUUUAAAACACGUACACUCAAAUUGAAAUAGGCUUUCACAUUGUUUUAUAAAUAAAACAACCACCACAUCCAACCAGCAAGUAUAAGUGCAAAAAACAAAACAUAGGUCUACUCAGGAAACAACAUAGUCAUCUCCAAAAGAAAAAAAAGAAGCGACAGAAGACUCUUUGGAAGCAAUGGAUUAACGGGUAGGGAGUGAAUCAAGUCGUCCGCCUGACACUGUAGGAUCAUCAACCACAAUGGCAAAAAUUUAAACACAAAGUCAAAAGAACAUUACAAAAAGACCUGCUCAACAAGACAAUAACCAUCGUGCAUAGUCGAUAGGGUUCAGGUCAAUAGGUCAUUGUCGAGAACACUAGCAAGAAGAGGUGGCUCCGCGUCCUACCCGUAUGGUUAGCUUGAGCCUCCAGGAACUGAAACAAAUUGGGGGACUGCCACUCAAGUCCAAGAGCCUCACGAACCCCACAAAGAAGACAUAGACCAUCACCCGACCCAUGCCACUUUGCCACCUCUGUCCGUGUGGGGAGACGAUCCCGUAAGAGCUACCACAGGAAAUCAUGAUCUUCAGUGGAAGUGUUGGUUUCAAAAGGGGAUGGUCCACAACCGAGUUGACGUACGUCAUAAAGCAUGGUAUGUCGAGCCGAAAGAGAAUAGACCAAUGGAGCUAGGUGCCAUGAUAGAAUGUUCCUUGACCCCAGACGCGAGAUCGGCAAGGCCGCCCGAAAUUUGAUCCAAGCCGACGUUUCCUCAAGGCCAAAUGUCCAAUGGAAUGGUAUGUUCCCAUUUCCCUUGUGGAUCACCGAGGGAACAUAAAGCAUUCCAGGGGCGCAGCUGUAAAAAGACCCACAAAUUUAGCGCUCUGUGGGACCUGCUAAGCUAUGGGUGCAGCAAGAGGAUGCUACCUUCUCCCCUGCCAAUGGAGGAACUGGAUCCAACCGAAUCUCAUGCUUGAUCGAUGGGUGGGACUUGCAGAACUAUUAGCCACCCUUUGAUCGCAAGCCAGGAGAGGGUGCCCUACAAAUAUUUUUCUUUAGUAAGUUGUAGCCAUAGGCCUCCCUCACCUAUAAUGAUUCGUGAAUGAUCAAAGAUGCCUGAGAUGUCGACUAGAUGGGUGGUGAAUAGGUGACUAUCAAUGUUAAUCAUUUUCUUAGCUGUUUUUAGUGGCUGGUGCGAAAUUGAAUGGUUUUAAUGUAUGCAAAUAGGUGCCACACCCUAUAUGAUGUCAUACAACAAUAACAAUGGUGCUUCCACGUAUGAUGAUCUGCAUGAUCCGACAACAAUAACGAUCAUCGAACCCCCUUCGCUCAAGGACCCUGCAAUGAAAGAACCAAUCCAAAUGGUCAUAAUCCUUCUGGAAAUAGUGUAAAAGAAAAUCCUUCUUGAAAUCCAGCUUAAGGAACUAACCCUUUGGCGUUGAACCUUAACCACAGGAACAAUCUUAUGAAGUGCUAAGAUCACAUCGUAACUAAAGCGUCCCUCAAGGAAGGCCGACUUGUAAUGAUGUAUGCGACAUUUCUCCAUCAAGGCAAAUUACGUCGCACAAACCUUAGCAAAGACCCAUUUGAGGACAUUGAUCAUUCCGACAGGCCUAAAUUAGAAAAUAUCUGUCGCCCCAACUAAUUUUGUGCUUAGGGUAAUCACACCGAAGUUUAGGCGAGACAUGUCCAAUAUAUGUCCCAAUGUAGAAUUUUCUGAACAUUAGCAUAAUCAUGGUGUGAAGAUUCUCCUAUAACUUCUGAAAAAAGGCUACCAGAAGGUCAUUCAAUCAUACAACUAGCCUUCAUUUCCUUAAAAUCCCGGCCUACCUCUAAAUGGAGAGUGAGACUCCCACUCUCUCUCUCCGGACCCCACUGCCGAGGAGUCCAUAGCUAACGUAACCCUUGUAUAGGUUUUUGCUAUGAAGAGCUCUAUAGAAGGAGUAGAUAUGAAACAAGAUAUCUCAGGCAUCCUUGAAGAGAACAUGUCCCUUCUAAAGGCAUGGAAUAAAGUACUUCCGAGGCCAUCCAUAAGCGAUGGUUGGGAAAUAGGCAGCACAAAUCCACUUUAAAACAUAUACAAAUGGAAAAAAUAGACAACUUUGAGGUGAUGCGAGCAUGAUAAACACCAGAGCGGAAUAAAGCAGCAAAUGGCUGCCAGAGCGCAUAGAUCAACUCGAGCCUCGGUCCAAGCAAAUCAUUCAUGUGGUAGCAUCUAGCUGGUGAGCUAGCUUGCAACCGUGGUUGGAAUCGAUCAAGUGUGCAAAGCAUAACGGAUGAAAGGGAGUCUCAGUGUGUGCAAGCUAAAAUCCACAACAUGUGGUUCGAGCUAGAGCUCGGUGGGCCUAGGUAAGCAUGAAACUUGACAUCAGGUGAUUAUGAUAGGUUGUUCUCCGUUCUCCACAGUGAGGGUUUAGAAGGUUUGGGUUGGCUACCUUUUUUUUAGAUAAGGAGGAUCAUCCCCCAACCUCUGCAUCAAUCGAUUUGGGUUGGCUACCUGGUAGACUACUAGGAUAGCAUAGGUUUGACGCAACAAUAGCAACGAGGCUUGGGGUAAGCACAUUAUAGGACCGGUCAUGACAUGGGUAUAGUCAAACAUGUAUAGAUAAGUGCUAAAACAGUUUAUACCAGUAACAAUUUCAAGUCGGUUGGUUAGGAUGUGAUCACAUAUCAGUGUUACUUUCUCAACCACACUGGCCAUAACCAAGCGCUCUGCAUCCCUGGAGAGAUAGUCCAUUGCAGAAUAACCUUGUUAAUUAGUCAAAGGUGAAACUUCGCACAGUUUGUCAAAUUUCGAUGAACGCUGGCCAUGUCAUCACUUCUCCGAUGAAACACCAUCGCCCGUGGUUUUCUUUAACCACUUUUUUUUUCUCGGAUGACACGAUAUAAUGAAGACCAAACUCCAUUAUCUAGUUGCGUAGAUUUUAGGGAAACAUGCAUGCAAAAACAAACUACUAAUCGUCCAAAACUUUUGGUGCUACUCUGUCCCUUCUCGUCGUUCACAAUUACCUGUUUUGACAAGCAAAUGGUUGUGCAUUGGCCAUAUGUGUGAUUCAGCGCAGCCAGUGACCGGCACAAAGGCAUUGAGGAACAUUGAUUGUGAUAUAUGCACAUCAGAAUGAAAUGGACACAGAAGUAGCAUAAUCCACAAUCAUGACAUUUCACAGAAAGGGGCAAUUUAAACACUACGUAAGUGACAUGACAUCGGAGUUACAGAAAUAGUCCACACUCUUGGCUUUCGACUCGCCAAAUGAAUUAAUUUGACAAAUCUGCCUCUUACCGGAGCCAGCGAUCGAUUCAUCCGUCUUCACAGAUAGAUCGUCCAACAAUGGAAACAACUUUCAUAGCUAGUUCAAUUUAGUCCCGAUUUGGCUCGGUGUCAAAAAACAAAUACUCGUCUCCAUUUGCCUCCACAACCUCUACACAGGAGACGCUGAGAGCUCUACUUCCUUUUGGGCAGAGUGGAUGCGUGUCUUGCGGUAUAGCAGACAAGAGUAUACAGUUAUCUGCGUAACCGUGGACACAAUGCCAAUGAUAUUCGGUACCUGCAUGCACAUAACGACGGCAAUGAGCAAUUGUACAUUCCUGCAAUGGAAAUAUUAUUAUAUUGAGUAGAUCACAACAGAAGUCCCUUCACAUAGGUAGUCUCCAUCUCUCUCACUCUCUCUCACUCACUCUCUAGACCUAUAAUGAGAUGGAUUGAUGGCACCAAGGAUAGAUAUUAAGUACCACGACGUAGGGGUUGACUGGGACGGUCAUGAAGCCGUAGGGGGCCCAUGUACAUGCACUUAAGAGGGAGAUGACGGCCAUGAUUACUGGGUUCAUGUCGUUGAUCUGCUUGAUCUUCAUGAUUACCAUCACCUGCCGUACAAAUUCGAUCGGUUUCAAUCCACCAACGAGAAAACGGACAAUAGAUUUAUAAAUCACGCUAGAAAGUCCACUUCACCAGCCGUAGCUUGAACUUACCAGAUCAUAUGCUGGAACUAUUUGUGUAGAUGCUCCAGAUAUUGAAGCCAUGACAUCGACAAAAGUAUUACUCCACGUAUGAGUGAUCAGCACCAUCGAAGCUACUAAUACUGCCGUUAUUAAAGCGACGACCAAAAAUGCGGAAAGAAUGAUUACGGCAUGCCGACGAUUCUCUGGUUCCGCAAACGUGAUGUAGAAGGUGGUGUAGAAAAAAUGAACGAUGAUUCCCAUUCCACUGAUGAUGAAGAGCAAGAGCUUGUUGGGGAGAUCCGUCGAGGCAUACAGUGUCCACAUCACGCUGUUGAAGAAGAGCAAGACAUGUCCAUAUACCUUCCGAUCUCCUACAGACCUUUCCUUCCAAACUGGGAUCACCAUAGUGCACCUGCGCGAACAAAACAAACGGAUGGUCACUUAGGUAAAAAAACACACGAGUGGCAAUAUUUUGUUGAGUUUUAUCGUAGCCGGGUGAUGAACUUUAGAUUAAUGAAUAAUGGCUAGGCUGCAUGCAUCACCGAGGAUGAGGGCGUUCCCCUCUUUUCAGAAAAGGGUAAAAAAUCUAUUAGUGUCCAACACGUAAGCAAAGUUCAAUGCCUAUUAGUACAAGCUUCGUGCACAUAGGAGUACUGCGUUUUACUCCCUCACAGAGAGCUUCUCCAAUAGCAUCUCUUUCUGCAUUAUUGGAGUAGUGGCUUUGCAGUCCCUUAUGUCCAGUACGUCACUUGGUCUUCUCUCUGUCUGUCUUUCACUGGUAGCUACUGCGGCUGGGAUGUGACUGAUGUUGAACUUCGGGGCUAGGAAAGCGGCAAGCAAUGGCGGUUAGGAUGCGGCGGAAGGUGAACUCCGUCUGGGAUGUGUGUGAUCAAUGAACUCCACCUGCAUGGUGGGGUAACUACGGCCCUAAGGCACCACGUGCUCCACGGAGGCGCGUCCGUGGGGUUCCAUGACAAAUAUGUAGGCGCGUCAGACGGCGAAGCAACAUGUGGCAGCGGCGGGACUCGAAUGGGUAAAAUCGGGACGAACAGGGUGGACGAGUCGAUUGAAGAGGUGAGCUCCGACUACCAUGAGGUACUAGGACGAGGGCAAAUUUGUUAGGGAAGUUUUAUUUCACCUCUGCAUGGGGGACUUGUAUGUGGAGCCACCAAACACGCAAAGGCCAACACUCCGGUCUAGAGGAAAACCUAGUCACACUGCCACAAGAGGGGACAUCGGCAAAGCCCGUGUGUGCUGUAGGGAAGGUACAAUGUUAUGUUAGGAGCUCAGGAUCGCCAAUGUCUUGUUCCGAACAUGCAUGGGGCCAACGCAUGGCUUCCGGCAUGCGGAGGCACCACCGACAUGCGUGAGGAGUGCAGGUUCCCGUUGGUGCUGCUCAAUGUAGCGGUUGUUGGCUGAUUCCUGGAGACUGCCAAUGGAGGCAUCCUCGAUGUGGUCGGCAGCAUCCUGUAGGUGGGGGCUUCGGACAUCAACUCGAGCUAUGGAUUGCAGCGAGCACCGAAAUGUCUUCAUGAGGGUUUCUCUUUGGUGACUUUCCGAGAUACAACUGAAGGGCUCCAUUGCGUGUUUUGGAGGCUCUCACUCUGUUCAUUUUUGGUCGACCAUGCGAUGCAAUAUAUGGACAUCGUCUUGACGCAGAGGGUGUGGUUGUGCAGUGGUGGUAGUGGGACUUCUUGUCCAAUGCCUUUAGUUGCUAGAAUCGUGGAAAAGUGGUAGCAACAACACAUGAUUGACAUCGAUUCGGUGGUGCUUCUUGAGUACCCAGUCUUGAGCUCUAGGGUGAAAAUGCUAGGUCUAACUCAAGUUUGUUAUACAUAUCAAUGACGAUGUUUUGUGUCUUUACCUUGUUGAAGGCAUUGCUCAGAUAUGUCCGGACUUGUUCUUCAUGGUGAAAACAUAGAUUCCGGCCUUUUAUAGUUGGAUCCAUUGUACGUGAUGCUCCAAUGUGAAGAGAUGAUUGGUGCGUAUAUGGCUGUUCUUGUAGUUUUUUUAUCAUUGUUUUAAUUGCUUCAAGUCUUUAUCUUUUACUCGCUUAGAUAUAGCUUCAGUAUUGUAUGACUUUGUUAUUUAUCAACGAGUUUAUGUGUGUGUGUGCAAUGGCAUUGGCUAUGUCCAUCCCAGCUAUGUAGAGAUCAGGUAUGUGCUCAUUGUGUUUGCAUCCAUAGGAUGUUUCUUUUAUAGUGAAUAAAAUUCACCCUCUCUCUAAAAUAUAGGGGAGUUGGGUGGAAAUUUUGGUGUACACCAAAAGCUAUUGGGGAUUGUGGAUCAUAUUAGGGGGAUGUUAACGUACGUAAAUCCCCUAUAGUGUCAGUUAUUUUUAGGGAUGUGUGCUUUUACCGUCACGACUUUCAAGAUGCUUAAAGAUGUCGUUGGCACGUAGCUUGAGGAAAAUCAGGUUUGAAUGUGUGAUAUAGAAAAGUUGUUGUUUUGGGGAAGUGGUUAUGAGCAAUGUUGCCUAUGUUUUGGCAAACCAAUUGUCUCAUUUAUCUAUCUUGAGUCAAAAGUAUAAAAUGCCUCUGAGAUGUCCAGGGGCCUUUUAUGCACAGAUUCAAUGAUAAUAACCGGAGUUAGUUGUGUUUUACCAAGUUUGAGUUACUAUAUAUACAUAUGGAUAUAGUACAAACAUGAUGUUUUAGUUACUUUCUCCCUAUGUUUGUAAUGAUAUAUGACAUCGUUAGUAUCGAUCUCUAGUGCCCCACCAAUCUUACGUUCUAAUAGAGGUGGUGGAAGACAAUGGAUACAUGGUGGCGCCUGAAGGGAUCUCGACGGGUGAUGAAUCCAUGAAGGUGAUUCGAUGGUUUUAUCCAGCUUCGUGGCCACCAGAUGGUUUAGAUCCCUACAUCCUGACUAUCUAUCUUUAUUGAUCAAUGAGAGAAUUAUAACGUUGUAGAGCUAAUCUAGGGAGCUAGGUUACGAGCAUGUUGCUUCACACAUAUGAUUAUCUUUGACAUUCGUCCGCUUGUCCCUUAUAUAGGUAAACAAAUGAAGGUAAUAUCAUACCUAACUUCAAGGGGUAUGAUAUGAUUGGGUGUUGCCAGUUUUGCAAGUGUAUCUCUCACAACCACUAUUGCAGAACCAUUUACAUGUGGGGCCUCACUAGUAGUGGGUGGCCAUCUGCACCUGCGAGUAGUAUUAAUUUGGCUACUUACGAGUGGAGGGCGGGAUUUCUUCCCACCACUUGUAUGUAAUUAAUAGUGGCAGGGGCGAUUUCCUGCCGGCCACUGGUAAUAUAUGCUUCGGCUAGCGAUGGGCCAAUCACAUCAGUCAUAGGUUCAUUUUCAUGAGCGCCGCUGGUAAAUCACGUAAUAGUGGUAGGCAGGUAGCAAACAUCCACCACUGAUAAUAUGGGCCCAUAUUUGCAAUAGUCAUGGUGACUCUGGUACAUUUUUAGGCAACUUUUUUAAUGGCUUAGGGUAUUUUGGGUUUUCAAUGUUUUAUGGUGUUGUAUGAAAAAUGGUUUGAACACUUAGGUUCCAUUUGCUAUGUUUUAGGCAUUAUAGGAAUAUAUUUGUAUUCCAUUUUGGAUAUAAUUAAAAUUUGAACUGUAAUUAUAUUAAAAAAUAAAUAUUGGAAGAAAGAUAAUAUUGAAGGUAGUUAUUAUAUAUUCAGUAUUAUGAAUCAACUGCUUGGUAAUUUUGACAUCAUGGUAAAUUCAAUCAUUCCUUGGAUUUCAAAAUACUUACUGAAGAACUAAAUAAUUCAUCUGUAAUUGUUUCCAAACAUUUGUUUGCAUAUAUGACCUGAAUACAUACUCACGAACUUGCACCAAUUUUGGGGCAUCGUUUGGUGCACUUGUAGUGCAAAUUAGUACAUCCAAUAAAUACCUGGAAAUGCACUAAAUGCCCUAGAAUACUCCCUCCUUUUUAGAAUAUGAGGGGCAUCAAUUUUCAUGUAAGCCAAAUACAUUUAUGUUUGAUAAAAAUUACAUAAUGAAAUAUAAAGAUCCGCUAUAAUAAAUAAAUAACCCCAUGAAAGCACUUUUCAUAAUGGAUUACAUAAAUAUUUUAGGUGUAUUUGUAUUAUUAAAAAUAUGAUACAAAUUUCAUACUAAAGGUAUUAAUGCAUCUUUCUAAAAACUUUGUAAGCAUGCAAAAAUUAGACAUUUGAAAAAAAUUAAUACACCUUAUAUUUUCGGAUAGAGGGAAUAAGAUACUCACCUAGAAAUGUACCAAAAUUUUACAUGUAAUUUGCAAUGGUGCAUCUUCAAAACAUAAAAAGUUUUAACAGCAAUCUUUCCUUCAAACAUAUUAUAAUCCCUUUGAAAGUCUAAUUUUUUCCACAUGGGUUCUCCACUUUCUUAGCAAAGUGCAUAAAAAAUUCUUUGGUUUUGCCAGACCCUCUAGGCUUCUUACCUUAAAACCAUUACAAGUUUCAUCAUUUUUCAGACUUCAUUUACAUUAUAAAAAACAACCAUUGCCGGGAAUUCAUUGAAUGCACCAAAAUAGCAAAUUCAUCCAUAAAAAAGUGCCAAAGUUUUACAAGAAGCUUCCAAUGUUGUAACUUCUACCGAAACAUUGUACCCCAAAUAUAAUAAUAAAGUAGUAACUGGAAAAUAGAAAGAAACUAAAUUUUUUACUAGUGGUGGGCGCCUUGGAACACCUGCCACGAGAAACCAAUAGUAGUGGCGGCGAGGGGAGUACUCCACAAUUGAUUUCUUACGAAGCCAAAUAGUCUAGGUUCUACGAACAAGGUUUGUAGUUCCUGUGUUAUCUUGUCCAGGGCAUGUUUAGAUCUGCAAAUGUAUGCUUUCCUUAAUAGUGUGCAGAUCAAAUUACACAUCGGUCUCCAUUCUCGCACUUGAUCUAUCUAUAUGUAGGUUCUUGUUAUAGUACAUGGGCAUAUUUUUAAACUAUUGUUUCUCGUUAUUAGCCUAAUCCACUCCUAUGUAAAAUUGUUAAGAAACCGUUGACCAUUCAUAUGAUGAUUGGUCCCAUAUGGACAUCUCUGGACAAGAUAUGAACUUUGUGCUAAAAACAGAUGUGUGUGUUUGAUCUAUGUUGCAUGUCUUUGUAUGUAUUUGAAGGUUUGGAUUUGAGGGGGACAAUUGUGGAUGCAUAUGAAUAACAGGCAGGUCGGCGCUGUCCGCGGACGUGUAUGGGCGCGCCCAUGGACGUUGGACACUUGAAGAUCCUAGUGAUUCUUGUUUCCAAUUGUGUGAGCCUAAUACUUCAUGAUUCAGGUGAAUACUAAAAUUAAUGGGCAAGGUUUGCGAACUGGUUCGUCUAUACCUUCUUUGUGCAUGCUAUGUGAUCAAUUUAUUUUCUCAAUUUCUGGUGAUUCUUCUUUUGUUUGCUCGCUCAACUAUCCCCAUAAAUUAUUUCUCACAAUUGUAUGUGCAUUUAUUUGUGAGUAAUUUGUUCUUGAACUAAUCAUGAAACCAAUUCCACUACAUAACUUGAGCCAAUAUAUGAUAUAAAUUUCACAACUUCACCUCAUGCAAUUCUAUGAAUAGCAUUGUGUAUUUAGUUUUUCUACCUUGUAUGAAACACUAGUGUUUUAUUAGUUUGGCACAACAUACACCUGCUGCCAGGUAACUAAGUUGAUAUGAAUGUGUCAAAUUUACACGUCCUAUAUACUCAAAUUCUUUGAACUGCCUUUGUCUUUCUACAAGUUACGUGGUUUUGAGCAUAUUGGCCAGUCUUUUGAAAUUAAAAGAUAGAUCGGUUAACUAGUUAUACUUAGUUUUGGCUUUGUGGUUAAGACAGAUCAAAUGUUCUUAGAAAAUGGAUAUCAGGGAAGAGCUAAAUUGUCAAACUUUAUAUAAAAAAGAUGAAGGUACCCACUGAUCUUCUACAUAGUGCAAAUUAUUGAUGUGAGUAUGAUAUAUCAGCCUCUUGUUCAUGUUUGUGCAAUAAAUGGCACAACAGGUAUUCAAGAUUUUCUCCACAUCAUACCUGCGAACAUGGCAUAAAAUCGAAAACGGAUAUAUAAUAUGUGUUUUUAUUAAUCAGUUCUUGUGGUUCUUUUGUUUAUAACUGAUUACACCUUCUCAUAGUUGUACAUUGCAUUAAUACAAAUGACCUCUAUUUUUAUGCAAGUUGCGCGGAUAGAUGGAAAUCCAAUUACACCAUUGGCAAUGAGGAAUUGCAAUUGCUUUUACCUCUUUCUGCAUUAAUUAUGAUUUUUCUACGCGCAUACAUUACAUACAUUACAAAUGCAAUGUGACUAUGACCAAUGUGAAAAUACAUGAGUAAAUUCGUUAAGUAUGUACAACUAGCAUACUGGCCCCGACACGUUUGCGACUUGAUUUUUCUACGCGCAUUUGAUAAAUUUAAAUCAAUUAUUAUUCUUUAUGUCUAAGUCGAUGUUGCUACCAGUCUAACCUAGUUAUGACAUUUCCACCCCAUUGUGAUUCUCUAUAUGGGAAAAUCAACCAAAGAUGCAAAUACAGACUUCUGAUCCCAGCCCACCAGUUCAUUUAAUUUGGAGAUAUUUACAUACAUAGUUAAAUAUAAACAUGAUAGCUUAGAUGUAAGUUAGUAGUCAGUUCCUCCACCCACCUUAAAACCAGUGGUAUUGUAUAUACUUAUUAAGGAAACACUUUAACCAGAAUACUUAUAUUCUACAUACAUGUUUUGGGCGCCGUGAGCACUUGUCUACUGGACCACACAUGCAUCUCCUGACUUCUACAUCUAUCAUAAAAGGUGCCUUAAUUUUUUUUACUGGCUUACAAUGGACAAGCUUGUCUCGACGGCAGGCUCUCUUGGCUCUCUUGAUCCCCUAAUGCAAGGCUCUCUUGGCUCUCUUGAUGGCAGGCUACCUGGCACCCUCCACCGCUGAAGGCAAGUUACCUUUUUUUUGGCUAUGUAAUGGGUAUUACAAUGAACGCAAUAGCUGAAAGUACUCACAAUGGGUGGAAUUAAGUCAAGUUUUUGUCCGGACACUAGAUAUACUCACUACAAUAGGAUCAAAUAAUUAAUAGACAACGUUACAAGCCCCAUUCUACUUGUAGACGCACAACUGUACUUAAUUUCAGAGCAACCGGUUAAUUUCCUAGAAUGGGGCAUUAUCUAUCCCGAUAAAUAUGACUUCCAUUGAAUACGGCUUCCAUAUAAUUUUAUAUUGAGCUAAUCUAGAAUCCCUUCUAGUAAUAACUAGUCGCGAUUAGGUUAAUCAUGUUUGGUACGUACUUGUAGACUACACCGAAUCGUUAUGUGCUUGGUAGUUUACUUGCUAUGCAAACAUGUACACUGCUCCUGCAUAAUCAUCCGAGAUGAAAGCCAUCAAUUGUGUCUCUGUGUAUUCAUGCAUCCAUGAAAGAAUUGAUCUAUUUCAUACAUGUAUUUGUGCAGCCAUAGGAAUUGAUCAAUUGAUCAGGUAGAAAGGUUUCUGUCUCCAAGUAGCUGCAUCGACGGUUAAUGAGUGGCAGCAGCUUCUCUUCAUCUCAUCUCCAAGUAGCGGCGUCGGCCAUGCCUCCAACUCCGGCAAGUCAACGCCAAUGUCAGCCAUGCCGCCGGCACCGACAAGUCAGCCACCAGGUGAGAGCGACCUCUCUUCAUCCCAUCACCAUGUAGCGCUGUCGGCCUCAUUUUGUUUCCUCCCCAAAUCCCAAUCCGUAUUGUUGCCGUGUUGGUCAUUGUCGCCGUCUACACUGCCCCUUACAUCCAUCACCCGACCUCCUCCUCCUUGUUGUGCCCAUCAUCCAUGAUGGCAUCGUCCCUGUGCUCAUUUUGGAUGUGGUUCUUGUUGUCUGCAACUUCAGAUCGACUGCAAAGAAUUUGUACAGCAUACUUGAACUAAUGUGUGACAUGUUUGUGCUUUCAAUAUUUCAUAUAUAACAAUAUAAGUUAAGUUUUCUGAUUACUGAUCCUCCAUCAGUGAUCUGGACUCUGCAUGAUAUGCAAAUAAAUUCAAAUUCAUGAACUUUUUCCAAAUUCAUGAACUCCAAAGCUCGCUAUUGUACCACUCCAUAAAACUCGGUAGAUUUUGAACAUAUCUUCGUCAGCCAUUUUUUUCAUGAACACUAAGAAUUUUUCUUGAAUUUGAAAAAAGUGUGAAUUUCUAAAAUGUAAGAGAUCUUCAAAAAGUUUGGGAAUUUAAACUUGUUCACAAAUUUUCAAAAGUGUUCAGGGUUCAAUAUAAUGUUAAUGAAUAUGCAAAUACCAUAUGUUCAUUAAUUUAGAUGUUCAUGGAAUGAAAACAAAUCAUGAAAAUGGAAAAUAUGAUCACAACUUUAAAAAAAUGAGAAACAUUUUUCCCCCCCCCCCCCCCCCAAAUUGUGAAAGUAUAUGAAUGUUCACAAAUAUUUUUUCCAUAUUCGUGAACGACGCGAAGAUUUAUUAAAAGUUGUGAACAAUUUUUCCAUAUUCAAGAACAUUUGUUUAAAGUCGCAAAAGUAUAUGAAUGUUAGUGAAUACCUUUUCCAUAUUGACGGACCACGCGAAUACUUCCUCCGUUCCUAAAUAUAAGUCUUUUAAGAAAUUUUCACUAGAGGUCUACAUACGGAGCAAAAUAAGUGAAUCUAUAGUGUAAAGUAUGUCUAUAUACAUCCGUAUGUAGUUUACUAGUGAAACCUCUACAAAGACUUAUAUUUAGGAACGGAGGGAGUAGUUUUUUUGAAAUCUUGAACAUGUUUUCCAUAUUCACAAGCACUUUUUCGAAGUAUAUGAAUGUUCACAAACAUUUUUUCCAUAUUCACGAACAUUUUUUUGAAUCAUGAAAGUAUAUGAAUAUCCGGCAACAAAUUUUUUCUUAUUAUUGAACGACAUUUUCUUCCAUACUCACGAAAGCGGAUAUUUUUUAGAAGGUCAUGAAUUUGAAUUUAUUUGCAUAUUUUCGUCACUGGCCCGUUACCUUGCGGGGCCCCAGUCCGGCGUGUCACGGGUCAACGUCGCCAGCUGGCCGGUCAUAGGGAUCAUACAUAUUUUGGACCUGAAUGAUACAAUUACUAUACUUCGGGAACCUGAAUGCAGAUUUGUAUAGUUCGAGGACCUACAGGACAACCCUGAAAUAGUUAAGGGGCAUAUAAUGCACUUUGCACCAUAUCAUCAAAAGCUUUGGACUGUCAUGUUAUUUUUUCAACAGUACACCACUCACAGCUAGCCUCUUUAUUUGACACACAGAAAGAGAUGCCAGCUAGCUAGACAUUGAUCAUCAUGUACAGGACAAAUAUUUGCCUAUGUGUCAGGUAUGCAACUUCGGUUUGGUGCUUUAGGCAAAGUUUGUUUCUUUCUCCGCUUUGGAGCAUCAUGUAGAUGACAAAGGUAGGUAAAUAUCUUUGGAGCAUCAUGUGUACGCGACAAAGUUAUGUAAAUAUCUUUGGAGCAUCAUGUACAGCAAGUUCGUUUCCUUCUACGGUUUGGUGUGUGAUUUACUCAGGAUCUAAAUUAAUAUCGAAAUGGAGCAUCAUAUGCAGCUUGCUAUGGUUGUUUCUUUCUUUCCUUUGUGCUCCUGUGAGGUGAGCUUGUUGUGGUUCUCAUAUGCUUAUCUGUUUAAUUAGGAAUGCUCUCCUUCCUUGCGAAUUAGGACUGUACAUGACCUGAGCCUAGCUCUCAUAUGCUUCUCUGUUUAAUUAGGAGUCUUCCCUGUCCCUGGAAACGGGGAGUGCACAUGCACUAAGACUAGCUCUCAUAUGCUUCUCUAUUUAAUUAGGAGUGUUCCCUUCCCUUGCAAAUUAUGGAAGCCUUAAAUUCCAUGAUAUACUCCCUCCAUCCCAUAUUAACUAUCGCGUAAGCGGAUGUACGAUAAUGAACUUUUGUAUUUCAUUAGUCUUGUUCUUCUGUUCUGUGCUUGAACUGAUAAAAAAAUUACUUAUAUUUCUGUAUAGGUUAGCUGGUGCGGGCCAAGGUUCCCAUGUCUGGACAAAGUACAAGGGAUAUGUAAUUUUAUGGUUAAAUGUCAUUUAGCUGAUGAAAAAUUGCAAUUGACAUUGGAACUAUUUGCACCAACACUAUGGUGCAAUUUUAUAAUUUGUAUGAUGCAAUUUUUCACUUGACGUACUUUAUGUUUGAUAUCUAGCACAUGCUGUUACAUGUUAAAUAAGAU
Molecule: long non-coding RNA, 15498 nt
Filed under: Hordeum vulgare
Lineage: Eukaryota; Viridiplantae; Streptophyta; Magnoliopsida; Poales; Poaceae
Description: long non-coding RNA (HVUL_LNC002529)
Source: RNAcentral